Long non-coding RNA from Etheostoma spectabile (orangethroat darter), 161 nucleotides. RefSeq lists it as uncharacterized. Lineage: Eukaryota; Metazoa; Chordata; Actinopteri; Perciformes; Percidae. The record is from RefSeq and is a predicted model, not a curated record. The transcript is spliced from 3 exons.
UUACCUGGUAAGUACUAGGGGUGCACUGAUCCGAUAUUAAGAUCAGAUAUCGGCCCCGAUAUUGACAAAAUUGCUGGAUCGGGGAUUGGAACAAUUAACAAAUCCAGGGGCUGAUCCAGUUUUUCCAAUGUUUGGUUACUUUUUGUUCUCUCUGUGUGCAC